RNAcentral lists this ribosomal RNA (277 nucleotides) under uncultured Prevotella sp. Its description in RNAcentral is "partial 16S ribosomal RNA". It matches the Rfam family "Bacterial small subunit ribosomal RNA", at positions 79 to 355 of the family's 1533-position model. The record is from RNAcentral. Lineage: Bacteria; Pseudomonadati; Bacteroidota; Bacteroidia; Bacteroidales; Prevotellaceae.
CUUUCCUUGAUGACGACUGGCGCACGGGUGAGUAACGCGUAUCCAACCUUCCCAUAACUACGGGAUAACCCGUUGAAAGACGGCCUAAUACCGUAUGAUAUCGUUUGCUGACAUCAAAUAACGAUUAAAGGUUUAGCGGUUAUGGAUGGGGAUGCGUCUGAUUAGCUUGUUGGCGGGGUAACGGCCCACCAAGGCUACGAUCAGUAGGGGUUCUGAGAGGAAGGUCCCCCACAUUGGAACUGAGACACGGUCCAAACUCCUACGGGAGGCAGCAGCA